UCCUUCUGAAGUAUCUGAUCACACAGAUGCAGGGUCUUUAGCUAACUGUACAGACCAAAGGACUGGUGAUGCAUGAUUAUGUAUUUGCCUCUUGACAGGAUCAUAGUGCUUAUGAUCAGGACAACUCCAAUGCUCAGGCCCUGACAAGCACUAGCAAGAUUACUUCGGUUGCUCUGUGCUGGAGAGAUCUUGCAUUUAGUCCAGAGACGGUGAAAAGGCUGCACAUCAUUGGUGAGGGAUGAAAGACAAACUGGACUGUUGGAACCCUGGAUGGAACCUUGGACUCUUGGAACCCUGCAUUAUUGGAUAUCAAAAGUGCAAUGCUGGAGCCUUGAUCUACAGGAACAGAAACAAGACUUGCCUGGCACUGAGACAUUAACUCUCAAAAAAAACCCCGAUCUAAACUGAUCAACACCCUGGAAUUCACCAGGAGCUUCCUGGAAAGGAGAAUUUUAAGAACAAGAACAGAAAAAAAGCCUGGUAAAAGCUGUAACUGGCUCUGCCUGUCUGUGCUAUGACAGCCAACAAUAUCACCUGCUGAUGAUUUACAGAUUCCUGGGAGAUGUGUUGUUGAGUCUCAAAGAACUGGAACAAGAACAACUCGCUCAAAUUGCUUCCCGUGAAACGGCAUAACGUAUCCACCCGCUUCAUACUCUCCUAAUUUAGGACACGUGUAGUCUGUAACGAUGAACUGGCCAACUGAUUAUGUUGCUGUAAAUCUCGUCCCCCACCUUACAAAACACCCCUGAUUGACCCCUUUUUCAUGAUAGCUCAGUGCAGCAUUUCCUGUCCACUUCUUGAGAGGGAGAAAAUCAGCACCAGCCACUUGCAAAAGCACUUCUCAAGAGUGAAAAAUGCAACAUUUUGUUGUUUUUAUUUCACUGGGCAGCCUUUUCAAGUUCUGUGACCCAUUUUUGCUUCCCUUUAAAUUGUGACCAGUAUUUAUUUAUUCCUCUUUGAACACAAUAACUUAAUUAAGAAACUAAUCAGCAGUGUUGAACUGAUCUUUCAACUCACCCCUGUCACUGAAGGAAAUUUAUGAAUGCAUAAUACAAGAAAGAUCCUAUUAUCUAAAAAGCUUUCUACUAAAAUCAUUUGGCAUCUAAAAAGUAAGACUUGAAAUUCUGUGCUAAAUUUAUAAUGUAAAUA
Melospiza melodia melodia is the source of this 1149-nucleotide long non-coding RNA. RefSeq lists it as uncharacterized. The transcript is spliced from 3 exons. The record is from RefSeq and is a predicted model, not a curated record. Lineage: Eukaryota; Metazoa; Chordata; Aves; Passeriformes; Passerellidae.